GCAGAGGCGACGCUGGCAGCCGUCUCUUAGGAGAUUUCUCCGCAGUGUGGACGGGGGUCAGGAUUUGCAGGCGAGCAAGGGCAGAGAGGAGAAAUCGUACAGGUCGGUGACGCGCCUAAUUCACAAAGCCUGAAAGUGCUGUCAACUUUGGGGUCAUCUUAUGCUGGGCACCGCCUCUCCAAUUAUCUGCAAAAAGUGAUAGCAGUCGCGCUUUUCUUUAGGAGGCGAUGUGAUGUGUAAUGGUGGAAAAGACGUUCAAUGAAAAGGCACGGAGGCCUGCAGGACAGGCUGUUGGGGUCCAGGGUUUCUUGAGUGUUGGAUUUGGAUGCUUGGGACACUGCAGGGGCUUCAGUCUUGCAGGGUGACCUUUCAUUUCAUGGGUGAUGAAAGUGAGACCCAAAACCCCGUGUCAUUUUGAAUCACUGACAGGCUUCGGCUUUUGGCCUCGGGAUGUCCAGCCCAGUGCUCCUUCCUGUCCUAUCUGGAAAGCAAGAUCCCCUUGACCACAAGAAAUAGAAUCAGGCUUGUUGGGGAUGAGAGACUAGAAUCUGGGCCAAAGAAUGGAAGACGGUGCUCAGAGAUGACCCUGAGUCUUGAUUCGGUGAGAAGAGGAAUGAGAUCCAGAUGAAGACCUCAUGAGUCCAUAGAUUGUAUUGGCUGGGAUUUGCACUUGGUUGCACAUAAUAAAAAUUCAUUCUUGGUGAUUAAACCAAACAAGAAUUUAUUUUUCUCAUGGUAAAAAGAAGU
Molecule: long non-coding RNA, 747 nt
Filed under: Homo sapiens (human)
Lineage: Eukaryota; Metazoa; Chordata; Mammalia; Primates; Hominidae
Description: non-protein coding lnc-ACER2-6:2
Source: RNAcentral